ACUGUUUCAAUCUCCUUGGAGGGGUGGCAGGGAACUUCCCCAAAAGUGACUGACAGACGGGCUGCUUGGAGCUCUGAGGGCCUCAAGGAGAGCGGAGGAGGGGCUGCCUUCAGCUGGGAAGGUGAGAGAAGAGCCUGAAGCAGAGGGGGGUCUCCACUACAGACUUUCCAGCUGCUGCUUGGGAACAACUGAUAAGCCAGGAAGGCAGCUGGAGCAUAGGCUGAGAAGCAAAGAGCAGGCUGUGCAAAGAGAUGGGAUCUCCCUGUGUUGCCCAGGGUGGUCUCAAACUCCUGGGCUCAGGUGAUCCUCCCACCUUGGCCUCCCAAAGUGCUGGAAAUUACACAGGUAUGAGACACUGGGACAGGCCCUGAUAAAAUUUUGUUGAGAAUUUUUGUAUCUAUAUUCUUAAAGAAUGCCGAGUUGUCUGUAAUAUUUC
Molecule: long non-coding RNA, 436 nt
Filed under: Callithrix jacchus (white-tufted-ear marmoset)
Lineage: Eukaryota; Metazoa; Chordata; Mammalia; Primates; Cebidae
Description: lncRNA (ENSCJAG00000084565.1)
Source: RNAcentral